This 164-nucleotide ribosomal RNA is filed under the name Quercus austroglauca. RNAcentral's name for it is "5.8S ribosomal RNA". It matches the Rfam family "5.8S ribosomal RNA". From Rfam's summary of the family: 5.8S ribosomal RNA (5.8S rRNA) is a component of the large subunit of the eukaryotic ribosome. It is transcribed by RNA polymerase I as part of the 45S precursor that also contains 18S and 28S rRNA. The record is from RNAcentral. Lineage: Eukaryota; Viridiplantae; Streptophyta; Magnoliopsida; Fagales; Fagaceae.
CUCUCGGCAACGGAUAUCUAGGCUCUCGCAUCGAUGAAGAACGUAGCGAAAUGCGAUACUUGGUGUGAAUUGCAGAAUCCCGCGAAUCAUCGAGUUUUUGAACGCAAGUUGCGCCCGAAGCCUCGGCCGAGGGCACGUCUGCCUGGGUGUCACGCAUCGUUGCC